ACGAACGCUGGCGGCGUGCUUAACACAUGCAAGUCGCACGGAAAGGCCCUGCUUUUGUGGGGUGCUCGAGUGGCGAACGGGUGAGUAACACGUGAGUAACCUGCCCUUGACUUUGGGAUAACUUCAGGAAACUGGGGCUAAUACCGGAUAGGAGCUCCUGCUGCAUGGUGGGGGUUGGAAAGUUUCGGCGGUUGGGGAUGGACUCGCGGCUUAUCAGCUUGUUGGUGGGGUAGUGGCUUACCAAGGCUUUGACGGGUAGCCGGCCUGAGAGGGUGACCGGCCACAUUGGGACUACGAUACGGCCCAGACUCCUACGGGAGGCAGCAGUGGGGAAUAUUGCACAAUGGGCGGAAGCCUGAUGCAGAAACGCCGCGUGCGGGAUGACGGCCUUCGGGUUGUAAACCGCUUUCGCCUGUGACGAAGCGUGAGUGACGGUAAUGGGUAAAGAAGCACCGGCUAACUACGUG
This 467-nucleotide ribosomal RNA is filed under the name uncultured bacterium. Its description in RNAcentral is "partial 16S ribosomal RNA". It matches the Rfam family "Bacterial small subunit ribosomal RNA", at positions 29 to 507 of the family's 1533-position model. The record is from RNAcentral.